GUGGAGCCUCCCUUGAGAUACCACCCUUGCAUUGCUUGAUGUCUAACCGCGAUCCCUUAUCGGGUUCCGGGACCCUGUGUGGCGGGUAGUUUGACUGGGGCGGUCGCCUCCUAAAGCGUAACGGAGGCGCGCGAAGGUUGGCUCAGAGCGGUCGGAAAUCGCUCGUUGAGUGCAAUGGCAGAAGCCAGCCUGACUGCAAGACUGACAAGUCGAGCAGAGUCGAAAGACGGCCAUAGUGAUCCGGUGGUCCCAAGUGGGAGGGCCAUCGCUCAACGGAUAAAAGGUACGCCGGGGAUAACAGGCUGAUACUGCCCAAGAGUCCAUAUCGACGGCAGUGUUUGGCACCUCGAUGUCGGCUCAUCUCAUCCUGGGGCUGGAGCAGGUCCCAAGGGUAUGGCUGUUCGCCAUUUAAAGAGGUACGUGAGCUGGGUUUAGAACGUCGUGAGACAGUUCGGUCCCUAUCUGCCGUGGGUGUAGGAUACUUGAGAGGAGUUGCCCCUAGUACGAGAGGACCGGGGUGAACGAUCCACUGGUGGACCAGUUGUCGUGCCAACGGCAGUGCUGGGUAGCUAUGAUCGGACAGGAUAACCGCUGAAGGCAUCUAAGCGGGAAGCCCCCCUCAAAACAAGGUAUCCCUGAGGGCCGUGGAAGACCACCACGUCGAUAGGCCGGAGGUGUAAGUGCAGCAAUGCAUUCAGCUGACCGGUACUAAUGGCCCGAUAGGCUUGAUCCG
RNAcentral lists this ribosomal RNA (733 nucleotides) under Alloyangia pacifica. RNAcentral describes it as "partial 23S ribosomal RNA". It matches the Rfam family "Bacterial large subunit ribosomal RNA", at positions 2180 to 2925 of the family's 2925-position model. The record is from RNAcentral. Lineage: Bacteria; Pseudomonadati; Pseudomonadota; Alphaproteobacteria; Rhodobacterales; Roseobacteraceae.